Long non-coding RNA from Alexandromys fortis (reed vole), 4494 nucleotides. RefSeq lists it as uncharacterized. The record is from RefSeq and is a predicted model, not a curated record. The transcript is spliced from 3 exons. Lineage: Eukaryota; Metazoa; Chordata; Mammalia; Rodentia; Cricetidae.
GCCAUUGCCUGGCUGGGGUGACACACAGGGUUCCUCAUCAGGAUUCAGGUUCCUCAAAAUUCUGCAUCUAGAACAACUUCACAGCUGCUAGCUGAGAAGAUCCAGCCUCACAGACGACUCCAGCUAGGACUUCAAAUAAGCCCUGUGCUUUCCCAUCACACAGAGACGGGACGACAGAUGAUGCAACUGGCUCUCCCAGGACUUGACCGUUAUCCCAAUUUUCUAAAGAUGUGGUUGUCCCCGGAAACAGGAAGCAAUUUGAGAACAUGAUGCCCACAUUCCCAAGAGUGUGACGUGUCUGUUCCUGGCAGCAUCAAUCUACUUCAUAGAAGAUGAUAAGCACUGAAGAAACCCCAUAUGGAAUUUACUUUCAAUGUGGCCAAGAACAUUCUGUUGCUAGAACAAAACAAGUCACACUCACACCCUUGAGAGAGCAGAACUCUCCGAUCUAAAUCUAGGUAGGAUCUUUGUUUGAAGAGAAACACAAGAACCUUGAAGGACUAAACGUAAGUUCUAACCCCCGACCUUUAGUCAAGGUGGGAACAGGCUCAUAUUUUUGGGCCUCCACACAAAGAUGCUCCAAUGUAGCAGGGAAAACUUGGGUGACUGUCCAGGCAGCCAGCUGUCUCUGUCAUUCCUAUAGUUUUGGAAUUUUCUUGCUCUGUACUUCCUGUUUAUUCAGGUAAUAUUUUAUCCUUCUAGGGUCUCUGACGGGGUUGAAGACUAGAUGUGUAUACCAUUUUCUUUGUUACCAAAUUCAGAAAAGAAAUUUACAAAAUAGAUAUAAAGUUCAUAAGGUUGAGAGAUAUAAAAGCUUAAAUUGUUUAUUUAAGAAAAUGUUUUAAGGUUUAAAAAUAUAUUUUUAGAUUGUUAAUACAAGUUACAAUAGAAAGUGAUUUAGAUUAAAAAAAAAAAAAACUUUGGACUAGGCCAGGCAAUGGUGCUUGCCUUUAAUCCCAGCACUGGGGAGGCAGAGACAAGCGUAUCUCAGUGAGUUCAAGGUCAACCUGAUUUACAAAGCAAGUUCCAGGACAGUCAGGACUGUUACACAGAGAAACCUUAUCUCGACAAACCAAAAAAAUAAAAAUAAAAAUAAAUUGUACUCCCACAAUAGGACAGAUAACAGAGCACUUUCUCUGAAUUCUCCAAAUACAAAUAGACUGGAUCUUGUGACUAUAAUUCUUACCUGAUAAUUAUUUUUAUUGCAUAUAGUUUUACUGUGUUAGUGUUAAAACCUUUCCUUUUUAUUUAGACAAAAAGAGGAAAAUACUGUGGGAUAAUCUUUCUGUACAUUGUGAAGAUGUGUCUCUGCCAAGGCCCCUUCUAAUUGGUAUAAUAAGGAGCCAAAAGAUCAGUAGCUAGGCGGGAAAGGAUAGGUAAGACUUCCAGGGAGAGAGAGGAACUCUGGGAAGAGUCUGAGGUGCCGAGGAUUUGCCAGCAAGAUGCAGGGCAAGUCAGACGUGCAGUACAAGGAGAGGUAACAAGCCAGGUGGCAGAACGUAGAUUAAUAGAAAUGAGUUAAGUUAUAGGGGCUAGUUGGGAAGAAGCCCAAGCUAAGGCCAAGCUUUCAUGCUUAAUAAGAAGUCCGUGUGUCUUCUUAUUUAUUAAUUUGAGAAGUCACGGCACAAAGAAAGACCUGCUACACGUGAUGUUGACAGAGGAGAAUCCCAAGGCCCUUCAAGUUGGAAGCAUCUUGUUCUCUGCGAACAUUGUCUGAGGAAGUUUUACUUACAAGCAUGAGUAUAUACGGUCCGUGGUGUGUGUGUGUAAUGCACACACAUAUGUGUGGAUGCCCACGUGCCUAUGUGUGGGAGGCUAGAGAAGGAUGUUGCGUGUCCAGCUCUAUCACUAUAUGACUUAAUUCCCCUGAGACAGGGUCUCUCACUGAGCCUGGAGCUAGGGUGGCAACCAGCAAGACCCAGUGAUUCCCCUGCCUCUGCCCUUCACAGUGCUGGGUUAUAGUGUGUAGUCAUGCCCAGCUUUUUAAACCUGUGUGCUGGGAUCUGCACUCAAGCCCUCACACAUAUGUAGCAAGCACUGAGUGGUCUCUCCAACCCUCAAGGCUCAUCUCCGUGUUGCCGUAGAGAAGACGGUACGUGUAAUUCUAUGGUAACUCGGUGUGAGGGGAACAUGUGAACCAGGGUGUCAUAUAUGGUCACGGAGCCGAAAACCCUGGCUCCAGCUGUCCUGGUGAUAUGGCGGGCGUCUUCGCAGCUCCACCAAUGUUGCAGUUUCUCGUAAGCUCCGGUUGUCAAAGCCUCCAGAAGGGCCUGUGAGGUGGAGGGAGAGCCACUUGCUUAUCGCUACUUCGAUUUAAACAAAAUUCUAAAGUGAGAUUUUCAUUCUCCCUCGUCUCUAGCUGUUCCAGCAGCACAUGUCCACAGCAAGUUACUUCUUCCUCUCCUGUACCUUGUAAUGAGAGAGCCGUUCUUCCAGGGAACCAGAUGCUGCAAUUAGCAAAAAAAGAGGGGCCAGCCAUGUGCCUGAUGACUAAGGCAGCCCAGCUGUGUGUCUGUCUUCCUAAUAUGGGGAGAGCCAGAUGUGCUAUGUGUGGAAAGGGGAGUCUACACAUGCUCACAGACACAUGCACAGCUCGUCCCAGGACUACACAGCAGGAUGUCUUAAGAGCUGGAACGGGAUGGAGGUAUGGAAACCUCACUGUGGGAAGCUGAGGUCUCUUUGCCAGGUGUUUGGCACAGAGAGGGGAACCAGUCCUCCCUGUAUGUGAGGCUUACUGUUAAGAUCCCUUCACCGGGAUCUCCCAACCUGGCCCUCAGCAAGAGGCUGCCCCAGCCCUACCUGUGGGGUUUCAUUCCCCCACAGGGGUUUGCAUUUUUGUUUUUGUUGAAUUUAUUUAUUUGUAUGACUUUUCCUGUUUUUAUCCCCAGGUUAACUUUUAGUUCAUUGAGAAGUAAAACUUAAAAACCAGAAACCCCUUUCCCUCCCUGUGGGAAGAUUUCCAAAUUGUACUCUCUCUCGACCCAAGUCCUUGGUUUUUAUCUGAUCAGAAAGCCCAUGGUAGCCGCUAGGGGUGGUGUGUUUCCACUGGUAGCGUGUUUGCCUAGCGUUCAGGAAGUCCUGUGUCUGACCCUCAGCCCUGGCUGGACCCAGGGUGGUGAUGCAUGUCUAUGGUCCAGCACCCAGGAGGUGGAAGCAGGAGGAGCAGAAGUCCAGGGUCAUCCAUGAAACAGAGUGAGUUUGAGGCCCGCUUGGUCUACAUGUGACCCUAUCAAAAAGGAAGGGAGGGAAAGAGGGCAUCAUCAAUCCCAGCAUGCACCAGCACUCUGGAGGCAACAGCAAGUGGAUUUUGGUGAGUUCCAGGCCAGCCAAGGUAGCAGAGUGGAACUCUGUCUUAAACAAACAAUCCAAACCAGGAAUGGUGGCACACACUUUUAAUCCUUAUGUUAGAGAGGCAGAGAUGGGUGGAUUCCUGGGGCUUGCUGGCCAGCCCGUCUAACUUAUUUAGCAAGUUCCAAGUCAGUGAGAAAUCCAGUCUCUAAAACAGGCGAACAGACACCUGAGGUUGUCUUCCAGCCCCACGCAGACAUAUGUACACACAUGCUCAGGACACCAAUUGAAAUUUACCUUUCUGAGGACAUGCUGUCUCGAGAAAGGGGGAAAAACAAUACAAGCCAGCCAUGUUCAGCAACCCUGAGCUCACUUUCCCCAUAUCUGGGCCACAGUCAUGGCCAGGAAGGAGCCAGCGACUGCCUCAGGUUUGCACACCGCACCACUCUGCUCCUGUAACCGUACUGCUUAACCGCACUGCUUAACCAUACUGUUGUGUAAAGUCAGGCAUGAACAGAACCCAAAAGCGGUCCUCGUGGGCUUCUGAGAAGAGCUGACUUGGAAAGAGCCUUAUUACUAGGUCAGUGGCCACGGGACUCUGCAGAUGGCCGGCCCACUGCAAUCUACACAUCCCCGGCCAGAAACUGACAGCGUGAUAGAAUUAAGCCAUACGGUUCAGUAGCCAUGGUAAUAAGAACACACAGCUGCAACGGGUUUGCCAAGCUAAGGCCAAGGGCAGUUCCCACACAACUGCUGAUCUGCUUUAAAUUUAGACACCACAUUUAAGUUUGGAGGUCCUCAGGUCCACCCUCUCCUCUGACCAACUGGUUACACUCAAGAGUCGCCAUGGCCUCCUUCUGGUUUGACAGUUAACCACAAUGGCUCAGAAGACUUCUAAAAAUGUGCUGUAUUUACUAUUACAGAGACUGGAGAGAUGGCUCAGUGGGUCAGGGUGCUUUCUGUGCGAGCAUUAAGGCCCUGAGUUCAGAACCCAACACCCGCAUAGAAACAAGUGAUGGUGUGAACUCGCCUGUAACUCCAGCACUGUGAGAAGGGUGUGGAGACAGGAGCAUCGCUGGCUGUCAGGUUCCGUGUGAGACCCUGUUUCGAGAGCAUAAGGCAGAGUAAUAGGGUAAGGGACCUGAUGUCUUCCUCAGGCCUCCACCUGUGUGCACAGGCUCACAUGUGCAUGUACACCUACACCGU